UAGCAGCGUUCUUAAAAGGAGCGCUGGUAUUGGGUCUUUUGUACCAGCGCUCUUUUUAGGAGCACUAGUAUUGAGUCUUUAGCCUUUUUUCCCUUCCCUCCUUUUUUUUUUUUUUUCCCUUCCCUUCAUUUUUUUCCCUCCGUUGAUUUUGGGCCCUAAACUACUUCGUUUUUGAGAGCCAAUUAACACUUUAUUCCCCUUUCCCAUUUAAUUUUGCAAUAACCCUAACACCUUCAACCGCUCUCUCUCCUUCCAUCACAGCUCUCUCGCCCUUCCAUCACCGGUCAUCACAGCUCUCUCCUUCCAUCACCGGUCAUCAUAGCUCUCUCUCCUUCCAUCACCGGUCAGCGUUCCAAAACUGGUGGCUUGGUUUAGAGAGACAAAGUCACACACAAAGAGAGAAAGAGUCGUCGUUGGGGGUUUCCAAAACCUCGUCUACACUAACAGAUCGGACGAGAAUUUUUUUAGAGUAAACAUAUGACUCUCUUCGCGAAAGCCCUAACUCCUUGCCCCCGACCACUGGAUAUCACGAAAGCCUUGGAUAGCUCCUUGCCUCCUCCUUAUAGCUUUCUGAAGUCUAAACAAGGAAGGAUAAAUAAUAAGUUGACAAUGAAACGAACAGUUAGUGAAGUGGAAAAAGUGAGUGAACAAAAAGGGGGUCACAUGCUACUGAUGCUACUGCUUCGGAGAUGAUUGGUUCUGAUUCUUUAAAUGGUCCUCCUAGACCUCCAAAUUCAUUUUCUAAUCGUGAUGCCAAUUCAGUUAAGGGUAAUUCAAAUCAAAUGGGCAAGAAGACUUGUUGAAGUUGAAGUUGAAGCUGAAGAUGGGGGAGUGGAUGUGAUUUCUGAAUUUCUUUCGCCGUGGAUGGGUUCUUUUUGAAAAACUUGUACAACAUUUGUCAAAAAUUCUUAAUUCUUUUUGUGUGACAUUUAGUAGCUUUAUCUAGACAAUUUGGAUUGUAUCUUUAUAUUGGCCGGUUAACUUGUGGUUGUAUAAUAUUUUUGCUUUUUGGUUGA
Cornus florida is the source of this 1016-nucleotide long non-coding RNA. RefSeq lists it as uncharacterized. NCBI's taxonomy places the organism in Eukaryota, Viridiplantae, Streptophyta, Magnoliopsida, Cornales, Cornaceae. The transcript has 5 exons. The record is from RefSeq and is a predicted model, not a curated record.